RNAcentral lists this ribosomal RNA (941 nucleotides) under Lacticaseibacillus rhamnosus. RNAcentral describes it as "bacterial SSU rRNA". It matches the Rfam family "Bacterial small subunit ribosomal RNA", at positions 85 to 1017 of the family's 1533-position model. Lineage: Bacteria; Bacillati; Bacillota; Bacilli; Lactobacillales; Lactobacillaceae. The record is from RNAcentral.
UUCUGAACGACUGGCGGAGGGGUGAGUAACACGUGGGUAACCUGCCCUUAAGUGGGGGAUAACAUUUGGAAACAGAUGCUAAUACCGCAAAAAUCCAAGAACCGCAAGGUUCUUGGCUGAAAGAUGGCGUAAGCUAUCGCUUUUGGAUGGACCCGCGGCGUAUUAGCUAGUUGGUGAGGUAACGGCUCACCAAGGCAAUGAUACGUAGCCGAACUGAGAGGUUGAUCGGCCACAUUGGGACUGAGACACGGCCCAAACUCCUACGGGAGGCAGCAGUAGGGAAUCUUCCACAAUGGACGCAAGUCUGAUGGAGCAACGCCGCGUGAGUGAAGAAGGCUUUCGGGUCGUAAAACUCUGUUGUUGGAGAAGAAUGGUCGGCAGAGUAACUGUUGUCGGCGUGACGGUAUCCAACCAGAAAGCCACGGCUAACUACGUGCCAGCAGCCGCGGUAAUACGUAGGUGGCAAGCGUUAUCCGGAUUUAUUGGGCGUAAAGCGAGCGCAGGCGGUUUUUUAAGUCUGAUGUGAAAGCCCUCGGCUUAACCGAGGAAGUGCAUCGGAAACUGGGAAACUUGAGUGCAGAAGAGGACAGUGGAACUCCGUGUGUAGCGGUGAAAUGCGUAGAUAUAUGGAAGAACACCAGUGGCGAAGGCGGCUGUCUGGUCUGUAACUGACGCUGAGGCUCGAAAGCAUGGGUAGCGAACAGGAUUAGAUACCCUGGUAGUCCAUGCCGUAAACGAUGAAUGCUAGGUGUUGGAGGGUUUCCGCCCUUCAGUGCCGCAGCUAACGCAUUAAGCAUUCCGCCUGGGGAGUACGACCGCAGGUUGAACUCAAAGGAUUUGACGGGGGCCCGCACAACCGGUGAACAUGUGGUUAAUUCUAAGCACGCGAAGACCUUACAAGGUCUUGACAUCUUUUGAUCACCUGAGAGAUCAAGUUCCCC